UCCUUAGAUGUUCUGGGCCGCACGCGUGCUACACUGAGUGGAUCAGCGGGUCAGGUUGCGCGAAAGUGUUUCCUAAUCUUUAAAUCCGCUCGUGAUGGGGAUUGACGGUUGCAAUUUUCCGUCAUGAACGAGGAAUACCUUGUAAGCGCGGGUCAUCAUCCCGCGCUGAAUACGUCCCUGCCCUUUGUACACACCGCCCGUCGCUCCUACCGAUUGAGUGGUCCGGUGAGGCUUUGGGAUCUGGGCGGAAAGAGCGUUUCGCUGUUUCUGCCCGGAAAACUCAGUCGAACCUUAUCAUUUAGAGGAAGGAGAAGUCGUAACA
RNAcentral lists this ribosomal RNA (322 nucleotides) under uncultured eukaryote. Its description in RNAcentral is "partial 18S ribosomal RNA". It matches the Rfam family "Eukaryotic small subunit ribosomal RNA", at positions 1470 to 1796 of the family's 1831-position model. The record is from RNAcentral.